GCAUGCAAUCAGCAAUCGAGAGUGAACUCGAUCAACAACAUGAUGAAGUUGACUUGAUGUCGGAUUCCAGCAUCCACUAAAACUUUAUAUUAAAAACAAGCUUGGCCAUGAUCUUCUGUGACAUCUUAACUGCCGAAAGCCGUUGAAGUCGAAAAGCACCUACUCAGAUCCUCCUCGGAAUUCAACUAUGACCAUAUUCACAAUAUCAAAUCAUCGUAGUAGCGGAACUUGAGACAUUGAGAAUUUGCCCCGGCUAAUGUUGACUUGCACCAGAGAGAGAGAGAGAGAGGGGCAUGAGUGGAGCAACUAACUCAAAAGCUGAGUAAUAGAAACCUAAAUCUUGACAAUGCUCCCAGGUGCGUCUUUGUUGGAACAAGGCUAUGGCCAGGCAAUCGGGAAGCCUACCAAAUCAAGCUCUCAAGGCAACACUUCUGCAACCAAAUCAGCAACUUUCGACCAUACUCAUAAAAAAGGGAUAAUUUGUCUACCUCUUUCCGGUCGCACAUGACAUCACACACUAGUUUAACGCACUGGUGCCUCAGAAAUGGCUCCUGCUCUUGCUAAAGAACAACUUUAAGCACGUUCGAGUUGAGAAUUGCUCCUCUCGAUUCUACUUGGAUCAGUACGAAGACAUGGAAAUAGAUCAAUGGUAAUCAAACUCUUUUAAAUUUCAAAAGGCUAAUAAUAUAAAUAGGAAAGUCUGAUCGAAUUCUUGUCAAUCUCUGGAGAAGAGCUUGUUUGCAAUGUAUGCAAGAAUGAUUUUUUUUUUUUUUGUGCACAUCUUUAUAAACACUUAGUUGAAGUAAGAUGUAAUGGAUUAGGCUCUUAUGUUACCUCCUCCAUGCUUUUGCAGGGAUUCUGUGUCGCGAUGACGGUGCAAAUGACUUGGGUUUUUGUCACAAAUUUAUUAUGGAAGUCUGGUGCAAUUAUACAAGAAGACAGCUAAAUAAAGUUGAUACUUUCUGUACCUUCAAUUGAAGAUUGUAGAGUUUGAUUUCUUGUGUAGUUUUGUUCAAGUUAUUGCACAAAAGGGAAAUUCUCCAACUAGACGUCCUUGGAUUUUCCGAAAAUUCGGCAUGAUUAGUGAUGGCGUUUGCUUUACUCUUCGUUAGAUUUGCAAACUGCUUACAAUGAUUCUAAACAUUUCACGGCGAAUCUCUUUAGCCUUAGGUUUUUCCAGAUCUUCCAAAUUGCCGUGUCGGCUACUAUAGCAGAAAACUAUCGCUAGUUUGUGAUAGUUUAUCAAACGUACCUUGCGACAUGAUCUGUUCUUAAGGCCCUAACCACCAAAGUAGACGUCUACUGAAACCUAGUGAACAAAAUAAAAAUAAAACAAAAAUAAAAUAACAGCCUGAAAUAGACACGAUCUCUUAAACUAAUCAAGGG
This 1386-nucleotide long non-coding RNA is filed under the name Physcomitrium patens. RNAcentral's name for it is "long non-coding RNA (PPAT_LNC011555)". The record is from RNAcentral. Lineage: Eukaryota; Viridiplantae; Streptophyta; Bryopsida; Funariales; Funariaceae.